GUCUUUUAAUUGAAGGCUGGUAUGAAUGGUUGGAUGAAAAAUAUACUUUCUUUUUUUUAUAUAAAAAAUUUAAUUUUUUGGUUAAAAAGCCAAAAUGUUUUUAUAGGACGAGAAGACCCUAUAGAACUUUAUUUUCUAUAUAUAUAAAUUUUAUUGAUUUUUAUAAAAUUAUAUAUUUAUGUUAAUUAUGUUGGGGUGACAGAAAAAAUUAUAUAACUUUUUCUAUUUUAGGCAUUUAUUUAUGUUUUGAUCUUUUAUUAAAAAAAUAGGAUUAAGUUACCUUAGGGAUAACAGCGUUAUUUUCUUUGAGAGUUCUUAUUGAUAAGAAAGUUUGCGACCUCGAUGUUGGAUUAAAAUAAGUGGCAGGGGUAGAAUAUUGCUUUACUAGGUCUGUUCGACCUUUAAAUUUUUACA
RNAcentral lists this ribosomal RNA (414 nucleotides) under Lygocoris sp. SJ-2010. RNAcentral's name for it is "partial 16S ribosomal RNA". The stretch from base 287 to 414 matches the Rfam family "Bacterial large subunit ribosomal RNA", at positions 2473 to 2600 of the family's 2925-position model. Lineage: Eukaryota; Metazoa; Arthropoda; Insecta; Hemiptera; Miridae. The record is from RNAcentral.